UUGUGGCAGCAACGCUUGUGGCAGCAGCAGCCAUAGGGAGGCCAGGCGUGGAGGCGGCACCGGGCUCGGAGCUGGCCAGGGUCCCCUCGCCUAUGGAGCACACAGCCACCACAGGCCCCAGGCCUGGACCUCCCCCUCGGCGGGUGGAGAAUGUUGUGCUACCAGCCAAGGACUGGCUGCCAGGACCUCCUGGGGGCACCGCAGUGUGGGCCACCAGCUCGGAAGCAGAGGUCCCACCAGAUCUAGCGCUCAAUAAGGAGCAGCAGUUGCAGAUCUCCAAGGAGCUGGUCGACAUUCAGAUCACAACCCACCACCUACAGGAGCAGCACGAGGCUGAAAUCUUCCAGCUGAAGAGUGAGAUCCUUUGGCUGGAGAGCCGAGUGCUGGAGCUGGAGCUGCAUGGAGAUCCCACCAGCCAGGGCUGUGCAGUCCCAGUGGAGUCUGACCCCAGGCACCCCCGGGCACCAGCCCAAGAGCUCAGACACAAAGCCCGGGUGCCUGGACACUCUGAUGAUCGCAGAUUCCAGGUGCAGCCCAAGAACGCCGUGAACCCCGAGAACGAGCAGCACAGCCUGGGGAGCGGCGUGAGUGUGCAGCCACCUAGCUCAGGGGAGAGGGCAGCACCAGAGACCCCAAGCCUACGGUCUCAUCCAGCCAGCCCUGUGUGCCCCACAGCUGCUGGGGGGCCAGGAGCAGCUGCAGGGAGAAGUGAAGUGGGCGCUGGAGCGUCAAGAGGCCCGGCAGCAGGCACUGGAGAUGCGUGUGGCAGCCCUGGGCCGGCAGCUGCAGGGAGCCCGAGAGGAGGCCAGGGCAGCCGGGCAGCGACUAGCCACACAGGCUGUGGUGCUGUGCAGCUGCCGAGGCCAGCUCCAUCAGGCAGAGGCCGAGAACGCCCGGCUGCAGCUGCAGCUCAAGAAACUGAAGGACGAGUAUGUCCUGCGGCUGCAGCACUGCGCCCGGGAGGCAGUGGUGAGCCCUGCAGGAGCACCCUGAGGCCUAGGGAGCCCAAACUUGGCCUGGGUGUGCUGGAUAGCUUCAGGGAGACCCCAGGGCUCUGGCACUGCUCAGCCUGCUGGUGUGGGGGGAUGGUUAGAAAAGAU
RNAcentral lists this small RNA (1100 nucleotides) under Pongo abelii (Sumatran orangutan). RNAcentral's name for it is "retained intron". The record is from RNAcentral. Lineage: Eukaryota; Metazoa; Chordata; Mammalia; Primates; Hominidae.